UACAGAGGUCUCAAGCGUUGUUCGGAUUCAUUGGGCGUAAAGGGUGCGUAGGUGGCGGGGUAAGUCAGGUGUGAAAUCUCGGGGCUCAACCCCGAAACUGCACUUGAUACUGCCUUGCUCGAGUACUGGAGAGGAGAUUGGAAUUUACGGUGUAGCAGUGAAAUGCGUAGAUAUCGUAAGGAAGACCAGUGGCGAAGGCGAAUCUCUGGACAGUUACUGACGCUGAGAAGCGAAAGCCAGGGGAGCAAACGGG
This 253-nucleotide ribosomal RNA is filed under the name uncultured bacterium. RNAcentral's name for it is "partial 16S ribosomal RNA". It matches the Rfam family "Bacterial small subunit ribosomal RNA", at positions 524 to 776 of the family's 1533-position model. The record is from RNAcentral.